CCCAUAUCGGUAUCGGUUGGUGUAACGGUGCCCUCCGAAACCGAUACGGAUACGGGGGCGUAACGGCGCAAAUUUUUUUUUUCCCCAAAAAAUAUGGAUUAAAUCCGGAAUAUUCUAAGCAUUCCAAAUAUGCAUUCAUUUAUAAAUUGGAACAUGUUUAUGGUGGUGUAACGGUCCACUCUUUGGUGAGAAGUUGUAUCGAACUGUCUGAUGAAUUUAUGAACCAGAUAACCUGAAUUUGACUACAAAAUUCAUAUAUUUAAUUUUCUAACUAUCUACUAUCAAUGAUAGAUAUAUUAGAAUGAAUGUAAUAUAAAAAUAUCUUACAUUUAGGUGUUUGCAAUUAUUUUUGAGGGCCAAAAUUCAUGCAUAAAUAGAAAAAAAUAUAAAAAUAAAUAAAUAAAAUGGCACCCCAAAUAUGUAAAAUGCACAUUAACAUGUUCUACUAUGAUUAACACAUCAUACGGCAUCAUUAAAACAGCAAAAGAAUCAUUAAAAAAUGAUUUUUCGAAUUUUCAAAAAAAGGGCUGAAAUAAAUGCAAAAAAAUAGAAAAAAAUAUAAAAUGGCACCCCAAAUCUGUAAAAUGCACAUUAACAUGUUCUACUAUGAUUAACACAUCAUAUGGCAUCAUUAAAACAACAAAAGAAUCAUUAAAAAAUGAUUUUUCGAAUUUUCAAAAAAAAGGCCAAAAUAAAUGCGUAAAUAGAAAAAAAUAUAAAA
Magnolia sinica is the source of this 721-nucleotide long non-coding RNA. RefSeq lists it as uncharacterized. The transcript has 2 exons. NCBI's taxonomy places the organism in Eukaryota, Viridiplantae, Streptophyta, Magnoliopsida, Magnoliales, Magnoliaceae. The record is from RefSeq and is a predicted model, not a curated record.